GACGAACGCUGGCGGCGUGCUUAACACAUGCAAGUCGAACGGGACUCUCAUCGUAGCUUGCUACGGAGAAAGUCUAGUGGCGAACGGGUGAGUAACACGUGGGCAACCUGCCCUGGAGGCCGGGAUAACACGGGGAAACUCGUGCUAAUACCGGAUAUCCUACCUUUCCCUCAUGGCAUCGGUAGAAAAGGUUGACUUUGUCUUCCGCUCCGGGAUGGGCCCGCGGCCCAUUAGCUUGUCGGUAGGGUAACGGCCUACCGAGGCGACGAUGGGUAGCCGACCUGAGAGGGUGACCGGCCACACUGGGACUGAGAUACGGCCCAGACUCCUACGGGUGGCAG
Molecule: ribosomal RNA, 341 nt
Filed under: uncultured Actinomycetes bacterium
Lineage: Bacteria; Bacillati; Actinomycetota; Actinomycetes
Description: bacterial SSU rRNA
Rfam family: Bacterial small subunit ribosomal RNA
Source: RNAcentral